AGUGAGCGCUGGCGGUAGGCCUAACACAUGCAAGUCGAACGGCAGCACAGUAAGAGCUUGCUCUUACGGGUGGCGAGUGGCGGACGGGUGAGGAAUACAUCGGAAUCUACUUUUUCGUGGGGGAUAACGUAGGGAAACUUACGCUAAUACCGCAUACGACCUACGGGUGAAAGCAGGGGAUCUUCGGACCUUGCGCGAUUGAAUGAGCCGAUGUCGGAUUAGCUAGUUGGCGGGGUAAAGGCCCACCAAGGUGACGAUCCGUAGCUGGUCUGAGAGGAUGAUCAGCCACACUGGAACUGAGACACGGUCCAGACUCCUACGGGAGGCAGCAGUGGGGAAUAUUGGACAAUGGGCGCAAGCCUGAUCCAGCCAUACCGCGUGGGUGAAGAAGGCCUUCGGGUUGUAAAGCCCUUUUGUUGGGAAAGAAAAGCAGCAGGUUAAUACCCCGCUGUUCUGACGGUACCCAAAGAAUAAGCACCGGCUAACUUCGUG
Molecule: ribosomal RNA, 492 nt
Filed under: uncultured bacterium
Lineage: Bacteria
Description: partial 16S ribosomal RNA
Rfam family: Bacterial small subunit ribosomal RNA
Source: RNAcentral